RNAcentral lists this long non-coding RNA (427 nucleotides) under Physcomitrium patens. Its description in RNAcentral is "long non-coding RNA (PPAT_LNC007181)". Lineage: Eukaryota; Viridiplantae; Streptophyta; Bryopsida; Funariales; Funariaceae. The record is from RNAcentral.
CUAAUUGGGUGCAAAUAUUCUUCCCAUAUUGGAACCAUUAUUGUAGAAUGUGGCCACAAUGUCCAAAAUUUGGGGUUGUGAAACUGGGUAUCUGGUGCUGGAAGACCAAACAAACAGCAAAAGAAGAGUAUGACUCCCAAAUAUGAAGGCAUACUAUGGUUGAUACCAUGUGAGGCUCCACUCAAGGGCAUAGACUUCCACAGCAGUAGUGCCAGGGGUCUCAUUUGACUAGAGGUUUUCUUGUAUGGAGGUGGAGAAAGUGGGAGCAGAGGUAGCAACAAGAAGAUAACAAAGUCCCCUUUUGAAUGUUGUUGGGUGUUUUUAUUGAUGUAAGAUUAGCAUAGAUGGAUAGAUCACAAAAUUGAGUGGGUAGUUAGCAAGAACAUAGCAGUGGGCCAGGGGUUUUUUGAAUUCUAAUAAAGAGCAG